This 234-nucleotide long non-coding RNA is filed under the name Physcomitrium patens. RNAcentral describes it as "long non-coding RNA (PPAT_LNC005813)". Lineage: Eukaryota; Viridiplantae; Streptophyta; Bryopsida; Funariales; Funariaceae. The record is from RNAcentral.
UCCAAGAAGAAUAAGACUCCAAUAUUGUAACAAAAGAAGUAUCAGUUUAGAGGAAGGUAAUCCGCAACCUCUAAAAAAUGCUAGUAUACCUUCAAGUAGAGGGGUAAUCCACACUCUACUAAGAAAGAACUAGCUCUGAUAUCUCAAGUUAGUGUAGUCUCGACAAACUGUCACGGACACAAAAUACAGACUUGAAAUCUAACAAGAAGUUCAAGAAGAAGUGGCAAAACUAGA